This 465-nucleotide ribosomal RNA is filed under the name uncultured bacterium. RNAcentral describes it as "partial 16S ribosomal RNA". It matches the Rfam family "Bacterial small subunit ribosomal RNA", at positions 28 to 507 of the family's 1533-position model. The record is from RNAcentral.
GACGAACGCUGGCGGCGUGCUUAACACAUGCAAGUCGAACGGAAAGGCCCCUUUGGGGGUACUCGAGUGGCGAACGGGUGAGUAACACGUGAGUAACCUGCCCUUGACUUCGGGAUAACUUCAGGAAACUGGGGCUAAUACCGGAUAGGAAUCCUUGCUGCAUGGUGGGGGUUGGAAAGCUUCGGCGGUUUUGGAUGGACUCUCGGCUUAUCAGCUUGUUGGUGGGGUAGUGGCUUACCAAGGCUUUGACGGGUAGCCGGCCUGAGAGGGCGACCGGCCACAGUGGGACUGAGAGACGGCCCAGACUCCGACGGUAGGCAGAAGGGGGGAAUAUUGCACAAGGGGCGCAAGCCGGAUGCAGAAACGCCUCGGGCGGGAGGACGGCCUUAGGGUUGUAAACCGCUUUCAGCAGGGGCGAAGCUUGUGGUGACGGUACCUGCAGAAGAAGCACCGGCUAACUACGUG